Molecule: ribosomal RNA, 493 nt
Filed under: uncultured bacterium
Lineage: Bacteria
Description: partial 16S ribosomal RNA
Rfam family: Bacterial small subunit ribosomal RNA
Source: RNAcentral
AGUGAACGCUGGCGGUAGGCCUAACACAUGCAAGUCGAACGGCAGCACAGUAAGAGCUUGCUCUUACGGGUGGCGAGUGGCGGACGGGUGAGGAAUACAUCGGAAUCUACUUUUUCGUGGGGGAUAACGUAGGGAAACUUACGCUAAUACCGCAUACGACCUACGGGUGAAAGCAGGGGAUCUUCGGACCUUGCGCGAUUGAAUGAGCCGAUGUCGGAUUAGCUAGUUGGCGGGGGUAAAGGCCCACCAAGGCGACGAUCCGUAGCUGGUCUGAGAGGAUGAUCAGCCACACUGGAACUGAGACACGGUCCAGACUCCUACGGGAGGCAGCAGUGGGGAAUAUUGGACAAUGGGCGCAAGCCUGAUCCAGCCAUACCGCGUGGGUGAAGAAGGCCUUCGGGUUGUAAAGCCCUUUUGUUGGGAAAGAAAGGCAGCAGGUUAAUACCCCGCUGUUCUGACGGUACCCAAAGAAUAAGCACCGGCUAACUUCGUG